CAGCAGCCGCGGUAAUACCGGCGGCCCGAGUGGCGGUCACUAUUAUUGGGCUUAAAGCGUCCGUAGCCGGGUUGGGAAGUCCUCCGGGGAAUCUGGCCGCUUAACGGUCCGAAUGCCGGAGGAUACUCCCAGCCUAGGGAGCGGGGGAGGCCGAGGGGAUUCCCGGAGUAGGGGUGAAAUCCUAUAAUCCCGGGAGGACCACCGGUGGCGAAGGCGCUCGGCUGGAACGCGUCCGACGGUGAGGGACGAAGGCCAGGGGAGCAAACCGGAUUAGAUACCCGGGUAGUCCUGGCUGUAAACGAUGCGGACUUUGUGUCGGACAAGCUAUGAGCUUGUCCGGUGCCGGAGGGAAACCGUUAAGUCCGCCGCCUGGGGAGUACGGCCGCAAGGCUGAAACUUAAAGGAAUUGGCGGG
RNAcentral lists this ribosomal RNA (414 nucleotides) under uncultured microorganism. Its description in RNAcentral is "bacterial SSU rRNA". It matches the Rfam family "Archaeal small subunit ribosomal RNA", at positions 459 to 872 of the family's 1478-position model. The record is from RNAcentral.